GGUGGACAUGUGGUUUAUUCGAUGCAACGCGAAGAACCUUACCUACUCUUGACAUCCAGCGAAUCCUUUAGAGAUAGAGGAGUGCCUUCGGGAACGCUGAGACAGGUGCUGCAUGGCUGUCGUCAGCUCGUGUUGUGAAAUGUUGGGUUAAGUCCCGCAACGAGCGCAACCCUUAUCCUUUGUUGCCAGCACGUAAUGGUGGGAACUCAAAGGAGACUGCCGGUGAUAAACCGGAGGAAGGUGGGGAUGACGUCAAGUCAUCAUGGCCCUUACGAGUAGGGCUACACACGUGCUACAAUGGCAGAUACAAAGAGAAGCGACCUCGCGAGAGCAAGCGGAACUCAUAAAGUCUGUCGUAGUCCGGAUUGGAGUCUGCAACUCGACUCCAUGAAGUCGGAAUCGCUAGUAAUCGUAGAUCAGAAUGCUACGGUGAAUACGUUCCCGGGCCUUGUACACACCGCCCGU
Molecule: ribosomal RNA, 465 nt
Filed under: Proteus hauseri
Lineage: Bacteria; Pseudomonadati; Pseudomonadota; Gammaproteobacteria; Enterobacterales; Morganellaceae
Description: bacterial SSU rRNA
Rfam family: Bacterial small subunit ribosomal RNA
Source: RNAcentral